AUGAAAAAACAAGGCCAAAUGCCUGGGCAAAACCAGAAGGAAUGUGGCAACAGCAGGAUUGGAGCCAGAGAAGCAAGAGGGCACACAUUCUUUUUAAUGGAUCCAGAAAUUACAGCCAGGGAUCACCAUAAAGCUACCUUAAGCAAUAUUCUUAGAUCUUUGGCUAAACAGAGGUCGAAAACAAGACAGCUAUACUUCUAAGGUAUGUUUAGAUUAUUUAUUUUCAGUAAAAUUUCAAAUAUGAUUUGA
RNAcentral lists this long non-coding RNA (249 nucleotides) under Monodelphis domestica (gray short-tailed opossum). Its description in RNAcentral is "lncRNA (ENSMODG00000040956.1)". Lineage: Eukaryota; Metazoa; Chordata; Mammalia; Didelphimorphia; Didelphidae. The record is from RNAcentral.